Molecule: ribosomal RNA, 275 nt
Filed under: uncultured bacterium
Lineage: Bacteria
Description: partial 16S ribosomal RNA
Rfam family: Bacterial small subunit ribosomal RNA
Source: RNAcentral
GUGCCUAACACAUGCAAGUCGCACGAGGAAGUGGAGCAAUCCAUGAGUAAAGUGGCGAACGGGUGAGUAACACGUGACUACCUGCCCUCGAGUGGGGAAUAACCUCGGGAAACCGGGGCUAAUACCGCAUAACAUCGAGAGAUCAAAGCAGCAAUGCGCUUGAGGAGGGGGUCGCGUCUGAUUAGCUAGUUGGUAGGGUAACGGCCUACCAAGGCGAUGAUCAGUAGCCGGCCUGAGAGGGCGCACGGCCACACUGGAACUGAAACACGGUCCAG